This 74-nucleotide transfer RNA is filed under the name Schumannella luteola. Its description in RNAcentral is "tRNA-Leu". It matches the Rfam family "tRNA". From Rfam's summary of the family: Transfer RNA (tRNA) molecules are approximately 80 nucleotides in length. Their secondary structure includes four short double-helical elements and three loops (D, anti-codon, and T loops). The record is from RNAcentral. RNAcentral also lists the same sequence under 1 other name. Lineage: Bacteria; Bacillati; Actinomycetota; Actinomycetes; Micrococcales; Microbacteriaceae.
GCCCCGGUAGCCCAAUUGGCAGAGGCAGGCGACUUAAAAUCGUCACAGUCUGGGUUCGACCCCCAGCCGGGGCA